This 274-nucleotide ribosomal RNA is filed under the name uncultured bacterium. RNAcentral's name for it is "partial 16S ribosomal RNA". It matches the Rfam family "Bacterial small subunit ribosomal RNA", at positions 523 to 796 of the family's 1533-position model. The record is from RNAcentral.
AGACGUAGGGUGCGAGCGUUAAUCGGAAUUACUGGGCGUAAAGCGUACGUAGGCGGUUGGUUAAGUUAGAUGUGAAAGCCCCGGGCUUAACCUGGGAACUGCAUUUAAAACUGGCGAACUAGAGUUGAGUAGAGGGGAGUGGAAUUUCAGGUGUAGCGGUGAAAUGCGUAGAGAUCUGAAGGAACACCAGUGGCGAAGGCGACUCCCUGGACUCGAACUGACGCUGAGGUACGAAAGCGUGGGUAGCAAACGGGAUUAGAAACCCUAGUAGUCC